AUGGGCUUCGAGCAAAGCCCGCAUGAGGCCGCUGUCUACCGACGGGGCAGUGGAGGAAAUGCCCUGCUGGUGGGCGUCUAUGUUGACGACUUGGUGAUCAUCGGCACCAAAGAUGCAGAGGUAGCGGCAUUCAAGGAAGACAUGAAGGCCACCUUCCAGAUGAGUGAUCUGGGGCUCCUCUCCUUCUAUCUAGGGAUUGAGGUGCACCAGGAUCACUCCGGGAUCGCGCUUCGACAGUCUGCCUACGCCAAGCGCAUCGUUGAGCUAGCUGGGCUCACCGGUUGCCAUCCAGCUCUCACUCUGAUGGAGGAGAGGCUGAAACUAAGCCGCGACAGCACGACGGAGGAAGUGGAUGCUACGGAGUACCGACGCCUUGUGGGGAGCCUUCGCUACCUCACCCACACACGGCCGGACCUAUCAUUCUCCGUCGGCUAUGUCAGUCGGUUCAUGGAGCGACCGACGUCGGAACACCAGCAGGCAGUGAAGAGGAUCAUCCGCUACAUAGCAGGGACCCUCGACCACGGCCUCCACUACCCUAGGUGUCCGGGGGUAGCACACUUCGUCGGGUACAGCGACAGCGACCACGCCGGCGACAUCGACACCAGCAAGAGCACGAGCGGGAUCCUCCUCUUCCUCGGCAAGUGUCUCGUGAGCUGGCAAUCAGUCAAGCAGCAGGUGGUGGCCCUGUCCAGCUGUGAGGCUGAGUACAUAGCGGCCUCCACCGCCUGCACUCAGGCGCUUUGGCUCGCUCGACUGCUUGGUGAUCUUCUCGUUCAAGACACCAGAACGGUGCAGCUCCUGGUGGACAGCAAGUUCGCCCUGGCCCUGGCAAAGAACCCCGUGUUCCACGAACGGAGCAAGCACAUCCGGCUGAGGUAUCACUUCAUCCGCAGCUGUGUGGAAGAAGGGAGCAUCGAGGCGAGCUACAUCAACACCAAGGAUCAGCUCGCAGACCUGCUCACCAAGCCUCUUGGGAGGGUCAAGUUCCUUGAGCUUUGCUCCAGGAUCGGGAUGAUUCAACACUCCCACAAGACGACGUACAAGACUUAG
RNAcentral lists this ribosomal RNA (1050 nucleotides) under Triticum aestivum (bread wheat). RNAcentral's name for it is "partial small subunit ribosomal RNA". The record is from RNAcentral. Lineage: Eukaryota; Viridiplantae; Streptophyta; Magnoliopsida; Poales; Poaceae.